This is a long non-coding RNA of Esox lucius (northern pike), 599 nucleotides long. The record is from Ensembl. NCBI's taxonomy places the organism in Eukaryota, Metazoa, Chordata, Actinopteri, Esociformes, Esocidae.
AUUUAAUAUCGCUCUUGUUCUUCACAGGGGCUUUCCUUAAUGUGACAGAUUCUCCUCCCACUGUCACCAGCACAAAAGCUGGUUCAUCUACUACAACCGCUACAUUAGGUGAACAAGGCAUGGGAACCAACUUCUACAGUGUUAAUAUGACUCUGAAUAUGAACGUAACUGGCAGUGAUCCAGGGACGACUAUUCAGAAGUGGGUUCAAAGAAUGCUGAAAAAGGAAAAGAUGAGUGCAUUCAAUUUCAGAUUGUUAAACUCGAUUUUUAAAGACAUUACUGGAACAGUGGAACUAGAGAAGACGGUCAAGGUGAGGAAUGAGAACAAGUUUCGAUGUACCUUCCAUGUUGAGGAUCUUGAGACGCGGAACGUUACAGAAGCUCAGAGACUCAUUGCUGACCAGCUGUCUGGGAAUCAUGUUGAUGAUAACAUCUUGGUACAACACGAAGACAUCCACGUGUUACAUAUAGAUCCAGGGAAUUGUCCUGAGGAAACCCAUAAUAGUUUCUGGGGUCGGUAUAUUUGGCCAAUCACAGAAGCCCAGAAUAUACAAAAAAUGGACUGUGAGAAGAACCGUGGAGAGAAGGCUUGCAGAAAA